AUACGGAGGGGGCUAGCGUUGUUCGGAAUUACUGGGCGUAAAGCGCGUGUAGGCGGAUCGUUAAGUCAGGGGUGAAAGCCCGGAGCUCAACUCCGGAAUUGCCCUUGAUACUGGCGAUCUAGAGGCCGGGAGAGGUGAGCGGAAUUCCCAGUGUAGAGGUGAAAUUCGUAGAUAUUGGGAGGAACACCAGUGGCGAAGGCGGCUCACUGGCCCGGUCCUGACGCUGAGACGCGAAAGCGUGGGGAGCAAACAGGAUUAGAAACCCUAGUAGUCC
RNAcentral lists this ribosomal RNA (274 nucleotides) under uncultured bacterium. RNAcentral's name for it is "partial 16S ribosomal RNA". It matches the Rfam family "Bacterial small subunit ribosomal RNA", at positions 523 to 796 of the family's 1533-position model. The record is from RNAcentral.